Molecule: ribosomal RNA, 450 nt
Filed under: Psychrobacter sp.
Lineage: Bacteria; Pseudomonadati; Pseudomonadota; Gammaproteobacteria; Moraxellales; Moraxellaceae
Description: bacterial SSU rRNA
Rfam family: Bacterial small subunit ribosomal RNA
Source: RNAcentral
UGGUAGUCCACGCCGUAAACGAUGUCUACUAGUCGGUGGGUGGCCUUGAGGACUGGCUGUCGGAGCUAACGCAAUAAGUAGACCGCCUGGGGAGUACGGUCGCAAGGUUAAAACUCAAAUGAAUUGACGGGGGCCCGCACAAACGGUGGAGCAUGUGGUUUAAUUCGAUGCAACGCGAAGAACCUUACCUGGUCUUGACAUAUCAGAGAAUCCUGCUAGAGAUGAGGGUAGUGCCUUCGGGAACUAGAAUACAGGUGCUGCAUGGCUGUCGUCAGCUCGUGUCGUGAAAUGUUGGGUUAAGUCCCGCAACGAGCGCAACCCUUGUCCUUAGUUGCCAGCGGGUAAAGCCGGGAACUCCAAGGAUACUGCCAGUGACAAACUGGAGGAAGGUGGGGACGACGUCAAGUCAUCAUGGCCCUUACGAGCAGGGCUACACACGUGCUACAAUGG